RNAcentral lists this ribosomal RNA (350 nucleotides) under uncultured soil bacterium. RNAcentral's name for it is "bacterial SSU rRNA". It matches the Rfam family "Bacterial small subunit ribosomal RNA", at positions 26 to 377 of the family's 1533-position model. The record is from RNAcentral.
AGAUUGAACGCUAGCGGGAUGCUUUACACAUGCAAGUCGAACGGCAGCGCGGACUUCGGUCUGGCGGCGAGUGGCGAACGGGUGAGUAAUAUAUCGGAACGUGCCCAGUAGCGGGGGAUAACUACGCGAAAGCGUGGCUAAUACCGCAUACGCCCUACGGGGGAAAGGGGGGAUUCUUCGGAACCUCUCACUAUUGGAGCGGCCGAUAUCAGAUUAGCUAGUUGGUGAGGUAAAGGCUCACCAAGGCGACGAUCUGUAGCUGGUUUGAGAGGACGACCAGCCACACUGGGACUGAGACACGGCCCAGACUCCUACGGGAGGCAGCAGUGGGGAAUUUUGGACAAUGGGGG